This 282-nucleotide ribosomal RNA is filed under the name uncultured diatom. Its description in RNAcentral is "partial 18S ribosomal RNA". It matches the Rfam family "Eukaryotic small subunit ribosomal RNA", at positions 598 to 888 of the family's 1831-position model. The record is from RNAcentral. Lineage: Eukaryota; Bacillariophyta.
CGUAUAUUAAAGUUGUUGCAGUUAAAAAGCUCGUAGUUGGACUUGUGCAUGUCCCUAGAUGUCCAUAUUGUUUGGUGCGUUGUAGGGCGUGCAUCCUUGGGUGGAAUUUGUGUGGCAUUAGGUUGUUGUACAGAGGAUGCUCAUCGUUUACUGUGAAAAAAAUAGAGUGUUCAAAGCAGGCUUUUGCCGUUGAAUAUAUUAGCAUGGAAUAAUAAGAUAAGACCUUGGUACUAUUUUGUUGGUUUGCGCACUGAGGUAAUGAUUAACAGAGACAGUUGGGGG